AGCGACGCAAAAUACAGCAUGUGGAUUUACACAGACCCAUAAAUCCCUGUGUGGAAAGUGUGGUAUACUUAGAAUAUAAACACUCUAUUUCUAAACUGCAGAAACUUUGAAACAUAUUUUCUCUUAGACAUGCUGGCAUCCAGAAAUAGACGACAGCAAGAGCACAUCACACACCUUGUUUAGAGCCAACAAUUGAGAUUGGAUGGCUGGAGAGAUCCUGCUUGUUUGCAAAGCGAAGAGAGGUAACAGACGAGAGGGACGUAGGAAAACGUGUGAAAGUGAGACCUGGAAAACUUAAGACUUAAAGACAUGAACAAUGUCCAAAGGGUUCGUACAAUAACAAAAUCCUCACAGCCUUUUUUCAAGUCAGCCAGGAGGAGGCACGACUAUCUGGCACUGAAACGACCCGGCCUCCCACUACUUUGGUUGAGGCUUUAUUUUCUUCUUCAAGUGACAAUGGUGCAGAAAAUGAAGAAGAUGAGUGUGAGCCACCUGCCCCUCAGCUAUCCGCCUGGCACAUUGCCCACUAAAACCUUUGUGGGACAAUAUGCUUUAACUGAUUCAGUCCAAACUUUUUGCAGUUAUAGUCAUGAUGUUGAUGAAUACAACCUGGGGCUUCUAUAGGAUUUCCAAAAGAUUAAGAAAAAACCUUUGGCGAGGUUCCAAAAAUUUGUUUUUCUUUGUAGAAUCACAAAUUAAUCGGAGAUAGUGAAAGAUACAAUAGUGGUUCCCCUUGAAAAAUAUUAUUUUAUGUCUUACAUUUACACAGGUACCAAAGGUUGCAUGUAGACCUUAUAACUGAAGAGCUAUACUUGGUUUAUUUAAGUUUUGUAUUUCAGGCAGAAAUUGUUCUAAAACCCCUUAUGUCUUAACAGGUUAAUAAAAUAGUAAUAAUCAUUAUGUUGAACCAUACCAAUAAUCAGAGAAACACUUAAGAAGGAUCAUGGUAACUUUGAAGGUGUCAUGGUUUGGAGCGUGAGUGUGCUUCGUUUGCCAUCGUUUACCUCUGCUUCAAGUGACAGGUUUAGAGCGGUGGAUGUGCCUGAGACAGCUGGUUGCCCUCACACCUGAGUGCAAUUGUCAAACAAUACUGGUAGAAUCAAGCUGAACAUUCAGUUUCUAAGCUCCCUAUGAGAUUAUCUUGCGUGUUUCGGCCUUCUGCGCUUUCUCAGAUCAGCCCUGGAAGACAUCUUACCUGAUUAGACCCUUGAACUUUUUGAAGUUUUUCUGGUCUGAGCACAUUUUCAUUGUGCUUCAAUGUCCUCUACAUCAACUCUAUGUCAACUCCAAAACCUCUGUAAUUCUCUGAAGAACCUCAGCCCUGGGUCGUCACUUGCAGAUCGUUUACGAACGAGUUCCUCUGCCUGACCAGUCUCCAUCAUGCCAUCUGUCAACAAACCCAGACACAACAGCCUUCUCCAGAUCAAGAGCUAUACUUACCGCUGAACCAAUGGGAUCGCCCCUCGUCUGCACUGCCACCUCUCCUCAGAUCCAAGAUCUGCUCUGGCUGGAAACAGACCUCCAUUAUUCUCUUAAUAAAUAUCAAAAGUAGAUUGUGGUCUCUGAAUCGUUUCUGUAUGUGGGUCAAGAAACUAACCUCAAAUAUGACAGGAGAAGCUGAAGCUCAUUU
Molecule: long non-coding RNA, 1630 nt
Organism: Girardinichthys multiradiatus
Lineage: Eukaryota; Metazoa; Chordata; Actinopteri; Cyprinodontiformes; Goodeidae
Exons: 4
Source: RefSeq, a predicted model, not a curated record